RNAcentral lists this transfer RNA (59 nucleotides) under Niptus hololeucus. RNAcentral's name for it is "tRNA-Cys". Lineage: Eukaryota; Metazoa; Arthropoda; Insecta; Coleoptera; Ptinidae. The record is from RNAcentral.
GGUUUUAUAGUCAAUUAUGAUUUUAAAUUGCAAGUUUAAAGGUGUUAAUUCUAAGGCUU